RNAcentral lists this ribosomal RNA (464 nucleotides) under uncultured Klebsiella sp. RNAcentral's name for it is "bacterial SSU rRNA". It matches the Rfam family "Bacterial small subunit ribosomal RNA", at positions 338 to 795 of the family's 1533-position model. Lineage: Bacteria; Pseudomonadati; Pseudomonadota; Gammaproteobacteria; Enterobacterales; Enterobacteriaceae. The record is from RNAcentral.
CCUACGGGGGGCAGCAGUGGGGAAUAUUGCACAAUGGGCGCAAGCCUGAUGCAGCCAUGCCGCGUGUGUGAAGAAGGCCUUCGGGUUGUAAAGCACUUUCAGCGGGGAGGAAGGCGGUGAGGUUAAUAACCUCAUCGAUUGACGUUACCCGCAGAAGAAGCACCGGCUAACUCCGUGCCAGCAGCCGCGGUAAUACGGAGGGUGCAAGCGUUAAUUGGAAUUACUGGGCGUAAAGCGCACGCAGGCGGUCUGUCAAGUCGGAUGUGAAAUCCCCGGGCUCAACCUGGGAACUGCAUUCGAAACUGGCAGGCUAGAGUCUUGUAGGGGGGGGUAGAAUUCCAGGUGUAGCGGUGAAAUGCGUAGAGAUCUGGGGGAAUACCGGUGGCGAAGGCGGCCCCCUGGACAAAGACUGACGCUCAGGUGCGAAAGCGUGGGAGCAAACAGGAUUAGAUACCCCUGUAGUC